RNAcentral lists this ribosomal RNA (497 nucleotides) under uncultured bacterium. RNAcentral describes it as "partial 16S ribosomal RNA". It matches the Rfam family "Bacterial small subunit ribosomal RNA", at positions 28 to 507 of the family's 1533-position model. The record is from RNAcentral.
GACGAACGCUGGCGGCGUGCCUAAUACAUGCAAGUUGAGCGCUGAAGGUUGGUACUUGUACCAACUGGAUGAGCAGCGAACGGGUGAGUAACGCGUGGGGAAUCUGCCUUUGAGCGGGGGACAACAUUUGGAAACGAAUGCUAAUACCGCAUAAAAACUUUAAACACAAGUUUUAAGUUUGAAAGAUGCAAUUGCAUCACUCAAAGAUGAUCCCGCGUUGUAUUAGCUAGUUGGUGAGGUAAAGGCUCACCAAGGCGAUGAUACAUAGCCGACCUGAGAGGGGGAUCGGCCACAUUGGGACUGAGACACGGCCCAAACUCCUACGGGAGGCAGCAGUAGGGAAUCUUCGGCAAUGGACGAAAGUCUGACCGAGCAACGCCGCGGGAGUGAAGAAGGUUUUCGGAUCGUAAAACUCGGUUGGUAGAGAAGAACGUUGGUGAGAGUGGAAAGCUCAUCAAGUGACGGUAACUACCCAGAAAGGGACGGCUAACUACGUG